AAAAAAAGAAGCAAAAAAU
This 19-nucleotide small RNA is filed under the name Arabidopsis thaliana (thale cress). Its description in RNAcentral is "ATSL233660". Lineage: Eukaryota; Viridiplantae; Streptophyta; Magnoliopsida; Brassicales; Brassicaceae. The record is from RNAcentral.